RNAcentral lists this ribosomal RNA (2746 nucleotides) under Drosophila yakuba. RNAcentral describes it as "eukaryotic LSU rRNA". The stretch from base 1772 to 2746 matches the Rfam family "Eukaryotic large subunit ribosomal RNA", at positions 1891 to 3185 of the family's 3401-position model. The record is from RNAcentral. Lineage: Eukaryota; Metazoa; Arthropoda; Insecta; Diptera; Drosophilidae.
UCGAUGCAAUCCGGCAGAGGGCAUUGGUCCAAAGCUACAAAGGUUGUCAGAGGCCCCCCUUAAACCACAACAGAGGUUGUUCGCCCUGCGGACUGUCCUGAUCCCACAACUCUAUCACAAGUUAUCCCUUGGGAGUGUGACGAUAGGCGUCUUAAGAAAGACUGACAAACUAAUACGUUUCUAUGUGCGAAGAUGGCUAAAUCUUCCGUCGGAUGUGCCGGUAGCAUUCGUUCAUGCCCCCCAAGGUGUGGGGGACUCGGAAUUCCAUCAAUGAGAUGGGUAGCACCAAUGUUAAGACUUAGACGAUUGAGCAACAUAAAAUGGCCUCACCUCGUACAAUCCGAGGAAGCCAGCUCCUUCCUCGAAGCGGAAAAACAAAGGGCCCGAGGUAGAUUGAUAGCUGAACAAAAUGAAUUGUUAUCGCGUCCGGCAAUAGAAAAGUAUUGGGCGAACAGAUUGUACCUCUCCGUUGACGGCAGCGGACUCCGUGAAGCGGGCCACUACGGUCCCCAACACGGGUGGGUUAGUCAACCCACGCGUUUACUAACAGGAAAGGAAUAUAUAGACGGUAUUCGUCUGCGGAUAAAUGCCCUACCCACAAAGUCUCGUACUACGAGGGGAAGGCACGAAUUGGAACGGCAGUUUCGUGCGUGAUGUGACGCUCCCGACACAACAAUCCACAUUAUGCAAAAAUGCUAUCGUUCGCAUGGGAGGCGCCUAGCUAGACACAAUUGCGUAGUAAAUCGAAUCAAGCGGGGAAUUGAGGAGAGAGGCUGCGUGGUCAUUGCUGAACUAAGUAAUAAACCAGACCUGGUGGUACUCCGACCUAAUCACAUGGAUGUGAUUGACAUACUGGUUGUUACAGACGGACACUCUAUGGAUGAUGCGCAUCUGCGCAAAAUAAAUAGAUACAACAGACCGGACAUACGAAUGGAAUUGCGAAGCCGAUUCGGAGCCGCAGGUGACAUGGAGUUUCACUCUGCAACUCUAAACUGGAGGGGGAUCUGGAGUGGUCAAUCCGUAAAACGGUUGAUUGCGAAGGGUCUCCUCAGCAAAUAUGAUAGUCAUAUCAUUAGCGUCCAGGUUAUGAGAGGCAGUCUUGGCUGUUUUAGACAGUUCAUGUACCUUAGCGGGUUUUCCCGUGAUUGGACUUAGCCAAAAACAUUUGGUUCACAUACAUCUGCCUGCUGCCUUGGCACAAUAUCAAAAAGGCAUAAACAUCGCACAUAUUGGUUAUUUACGGCUAUGAGGAUGGUUUUAGUACGUAGGCGUUACGGAACCUCGGUUCAGAUAGAGCAAUGAAUCGUGCAUGCUAGGUAAACUGACCACACAAAAAAUGGCAGCCCUAGUAUCUUUCGAAGAUUUCCAUACCUCUGCGAUCAAAAAAAAAAAAAUAGCCAAAUGCCUCGUCAUCUAAUUAGUGACGCGCAUGAAUGGAUUAACGAGAUUCCUACUGUCCCUAUCUAAUUCGCCGUGUGGUUAGCGGGCGAGAAUACAACCACAGUCCGCUGUUGCUUGUCGUAGGAGGCGACUAAUACGGCUAUAGGUCGCUCCGCCCGUGCUUGUCGGACCCAAGGAAUGUGAGGCCGACCGAGCCUCUAAUUUCGGUACCACGGGUUGAGCCCGGCAAGAAGGCACUCGAAUUUCCACCAGGGUGACCACCCUAUGUACAUAGCUAUAGCUUCUAGACCGGUACGUUUGUGUGGCGUAUCCAGACUAAUGCAUCUUUGGAUGUCGUGGUUGUAAUCCCUUCAAUGUGGAACACGCCACGUAAAACAAGUUCGGAGGGAUCCGAAAUCACACACUGUCCCUAUCUACUAUCUAGCGAAACCACAGCCAAGGGAACGGGCUUGGAAUAAUUAGCGGGGAAAUAAGACUCUUUUGAGCUUGACUCUAAUCUGGCAGUGUAAGGAGACAUAAGAGGUGUAGAAUAAGUGGGAGAUAUUAGACCUCGGUUUGGUAUCGUCAAUGAAAUACCACUACUCUUAUUGUUUCCUUACUUACUUGAUUAAAUGGAACGUGUAUCAUUUCCUAGCCAUUAUACGGGUAUAUUUAUUAUAUCCUAUGGUAUUGGGUUUUGAUGCAAGCUUCUUGAUCAAAGUAUCACGAGUUUGUUAUAUAAUCGCAAACAAAUUCUUUAAUAAAACGAUGCAUUUAUGUAUCUUUGAUUUGAAAAUUUGGUAUAACUCCAAUUACUCAGGUAUGAUCCAAUUCAAGGACAUUGUCAGGUAGGGAGUUUUACUGGGGCGGAGGUGUCCCAAGGCCAGCUCAGUGCGGACAGAAACCACACAUAGAGCAAAAGGAUAAAUGCUGACUUGAUCUCGGUGUUCAGUUCACACAGGGAUAGCAAAAGCUCGGCCUAUCGAUCCUUUUGGUUUAAAAAAAGUUACCAUAGGGAUAACUGGCUUGUGGCGGCCAAGCGUUCAUAGCGAAGUCGCUCUGAUGUCGGCUCUUCCUAUCAUUGUGAAGCAAAAUUCACCAAGCGUUGGAUUGUUCACCCAUGCAAGGGAACGUGAGCUGGGCUUAGACCGUCGUGAGACAGGUUAGUUUUAACCUACUAAUGACAAAACGUUGUUGCGACAGCAUUCCUGCGUAGUACGAGAGGAACCGCAGGUACGGACCAAUGGCACAAUACUUAUUCGAGCGAACAGUGGUAUGACGCUACGUCUGUUGGAUUAUGCCUGAACGCCUCUAAGGUCGUAUCCGUGCUGGUCUGCACUGAUCAAGAACGGGCAAUUUGCAUUGU